AAGCAGCUUGCUGCUUUGCUGACGAGUGGCGGACGGGUGAGUAAUGUCUGGGAAACUGCCUGAUGGAGGGGGAUAACUACUGGAAACGGUAGCUAAUACCGCAUAACGUCGCAAGACCAAAGAGGGGGACCUUAGGGCCUCUUGCCAUCGGAUGUGCCCAGAUGGGAUUAGCUAGUAGGUGGGGUAACGGCUCACCUAGGCGACGAUCCCUAGCUGGUCUGAGAGGAUGACCAGCCACACUGGAACUGAGACACGGUCCAGACUCCUACGGGAGGCAGCAGUGGGGAAUAUUGCACAAUGGGCGCAAGCCUGAUGCAGCCAUGCCGCGUGUAUGAAGAAGGCCUUCGGGUUGUAAAGUACUUUCAGCGGGGAGGAAGGGAGUAAAGUUAAUACCUUUGCUCAUUGACGUUACCCGCAGAAGAAGCACCGGCUAACUCCGUGCCAGCAGCCGCGGUAAUACGGAGGGUGCAAGCGUUAAUCGGAAUUACUGGGCGUAAAGCGCACGCAGGCGGUUUGUUAAGUCAGAUGUGAAAUCCCCGGGCUCAACCUGGGAACUGCAUCUGAUACUGGCAAGCUUGAGUCUCGUAGAGGGGGGUAGAAUUCCAGGUGUAGCGGUGAAAUGCGUAGAGAUCUGGAGGAAUACCGGUGGCGAAGGCGGCCCCCUGGACGAAGACUGACGCUCAGGUGCGAAAGCGUGGGGAGCAAACAGGAUUAGAUACCCUGGUAGUCCACGCCGUAAACGAUGUCGACUUGGAGGUUGUGCCCUUGAGGCGUGGCUUCCGGAGCUAACGCGUUAAGUUGACCGCCUGGGGAGUACGGCCGCAAGGUUAAAACUCAAAUGAAUUGACGGGGGCCCGCACAAGCGGUGGAGCAUGUGGUUUAAUUCGAUGCAACGCGAAGAACCUUACCUGGUCUUGACAUCCACGGAAGUUUUCAGAGAUGAGAAUGUGCCUUCGGGAACCGUGAGACAGGUGCUGCAUGGCUGUCGUCAGCUCGUGUUGUGAAAUGUUGGGUUAAGUCCCGCAACGAGCGCAACCCUUAUCCUUUGUUGCCAGCGGUCCGGCCGGGAACUCAAAGGAGACUGCCAGUGAUAAACUGGAGGAAGGUGGGGAUGACGUCAAGUCAUCAUGGCCCUUACGACCAGGGCUACACACGUGCUACAAUGGCGCAUACAAAGAGAAGCGACCUCGCGAGAGCAAGCGGACCUCAUAAAGUGCGUCGUAGUCCGGAUUGGAGUCUGCAACUCGACUCCAUGAAGUCGGAAUCGCUAGUAAUCGUGGAUCAGAAUGCCACGGUGAAUACGUUCCCGGGCCUUGUACACACCGCCCGUCACACCAUGGGAGUGGGUUGCAAAAGAAGUAGGUAGCUUAACCUUCGGGAGGGCGCUUACCACUUUGUGAUUCAUGACUGGGGUGAAGUCGUAACAAGGUAACCGUAGGGGAACCUGCGGUUGGAUCACCUCCUUA
Molecule: ribosomal RNA, 1466 nt
Filed under: Escherichia coli
Lineage: Bacteria; Pseudomonadati; Pseudomonadota; Gammaproteobacteria; Enterobacterales; Enterobacteriaceae
Description: bacterial SSU rRNA
Rfam family: Bacterial small subunit ribosomal RNA
Source: RNAcentral